Molecule: ribosomal RNA, 478 nt
Filed under: uncultured bacterium
Lineage: Bacteria
Description: partial 16S ribosomal RNA
Rfam family: Bacterial small subunit ribosomal RNA
Source: RNAcentral
GACGAACGCUGGCGGCGUGCUUAACACAUGCAAGUCGAACGGUAAGGCCCUUCGGGGUACACGAGUGGCGAACGGGUGAGUAACACGUGGGCGAUCUGCCCUGCACUUCGGGAUAAGCCUGGGAAACUGGGUCUAAUACCGGAUAGGACCACUGCCUGCCUGGGCGGUGGUGGAAAGCUUUUGCGGUGUGGGGUGGGCCCGCGGCCUAUCAGCUUGUUGGUGGGGAGAUGGCCUACCAAGGCGACGACGGGUAGCCGGCCUGAGAGGGUGAUCGGCCACACUGGGACUGAGAUACGGCCCAGACUCCUACGGGAGGCAGCAGUGGGGAAUAUUGCACAAUGGGCGCAAGCCUGAUGCAGCGACGCCGCGUGAGGGAUGACGGCCUUCGGGUUGUAAACCUCUUUCAGCACCGACGAGGCGCAAGUGACGGUAGGUGCAGAAGAAGGACCGGCCAACUACGUGCCAGCAGCCGCCGCAG